GCCUUCAUGGUGUAACGGUAGCACACUCGGCUCGUAUUCGAGAGGUUCAGGUUCUAGUCCCGGAGAGAGCA
RNAcentral lists this transfer RNA (71 nucleotides) under Stegodyphus mimosarum. It matches the Rfam family "tRNA". Rfam says of the family: Transfer RNA (tRNA) molecules are approximately 80 nucleotides in length. The record is from Rfam by way of RNAcentral. Lineage: Eukaryota; Metazoa; Arthropoda; Arachnida; Araneae; Eresidae.